GCCUUAUACAACUCGAGGGCACCAUUACACACACUUUCGUUUUUCAAGUCUAAGAGCAAAACCCCGAGUCUUUCUUCACUUCGAGCAAAAUCCCGAGCCUUAACAUCUCUCACUCCCACUUUGGCCUUAGAGAGUUUUGUUGGAUUGGGAAUUUAGGGUUUUUUCGAUUAACUGUUCAGCUCACUUUGCCUAGGCGAAGACGGAGGCUAGGUGGAAGACGGAGGUACAGUCCAAUGACUUCGUCUUCAUUCUCUCAAGUCUGAUUGUCUCAUCUAAUUUCUGAAAACCCAAACCUCCUUGAAACCUUCAACCCAGUCUCUGCGACGAUCGACGGCAGCGGCACGACGACCUCGUCUCGUUCUCGCAACGUCACUCUGUCAAUCACUCAAUCUCGCUUUUGGUGGUGGAGCAGAAGAAAGAAAAGAAAAAAAUAAGAAGGGGUCGGGAAAGAGAGGAGAAGGAAGAGAAUAGAGGGAUGUUGAGAAAGAUAGAGAAGAAAAGAAGAAGAAAUAGGAAGAGGGAAGAAGAAGAUGUUUAUCUUCCGGAGGGUUGCUUUCUAAGGGAGAGGAGAUCAUAAACGAGAGAGAAGGAGAGAGACGAGUUUGUUUGAAGUUAAAAGGCAAGAACAUGGUGUUGGGUUCAGUUUCUUUUUGAGUAGGUAUUAUUUGAGAUUAGGAUUAAAACUUCACUGCACCCAACAAGCAAAGGAGCAUGCAGUGGUAAAUCCUUUUCAUUAUUUCUAGGGAUACUAGUGAAUUGCAGUGGUACUAGUAGUUGUAUCACUAAUCUUUUUUUUUUUUUUCCUGUAUUGUUUUUGAUUUGGUGCAUAAGGGCAGCUUUGAGGUUUUCUUUCUUUGAUCUCUUUAAGGUCAGAAAAGCCUCAAUUUAUUCCUUUUGUAUUUGUUUGCUAACAUUUUCUUUGAGCACAUGCAUAUCUAUAGUGUCACUGGAUUUAGCUUUUACAUUUAACCAUUUAAAAGAGCUGCUGGUAUUUGCCUUCUUGCAUUUUCAGUUGAAGCUUGUAGGAGAAACAUCAAGUUCAAUGGUUCAGUUGCAUGUUCAAAGGUGGAAUCACAUCUUGGUGAUGUUCGUGUGCAUAUAUAUGUUAAUUCCUUGAUGGUCAUUGCUUUCUUUUUUCAAUUCUUUUGCCACUGGUUUUGUUAAUCUCACUUGCCUUGAUCAGAGUAGCUCUUUCAAGGUCUUUGUAUUCCUUUCUUAUAAAAAAACGUCAUUUCAAACCAUGAAGCAUUGUUGACUUGUUGAGUUUCUGAAGCAUGUUACCUUGCUAUUUUUAUUGAAGUUAAUGUUGAUAAAAUUCAAGUUGUCUUGCUUUGUUGUCUUUGAGUAAAAAUUAACCUGUUAGAUUUCUUGUUGUGCUUCUAGAAAUUUGAAAAUUUAAUAUCAAGCAUUUUUGAUAGCUACCAAAAUAAAAGCAUAUAUGAAGGAAAAUAUCAUUGGACAAGUGGUUCAACUAUUUGUGUUGUAGAUGCUUAAUCCUUUGCAGACCAUACAAUGGUCUGAAGUGUAAGCUUGGCACUUUGGUAGGUUGCUCCAUUGCAACCUGAAGGUCCCGGGUUUGAAGGGGGAGAUAGCCUCUCCCAGAUGGGGUCAACAGUCUCUAGGCUCUGCAAUGGCUGGAUUCCCAUGCAUAUUGAGCUGUCUGUAAAAUAGACGAGAAGGCAAUCAAUGAGGUAUUUCUGAAAGUCCUGGAUAAUUAGAUCAAAUGGUGCAAAUACCUGCGGAUCUGGCUUCACAAGCAAUUAAUCGGGACAUAAACUUUUUCUGGUGUCAUUGUACUUUCUGAUAUGGGGUGAGGCUGCAAAUGUCCACUUUCUUCCUGAAUGCAUUUGCUACAUGUUUGACCAUAUGGCGAAGGAGUUAGAUGCUAUUCCUGCUGCUGGCUGCACAAUAGAAAAUGAUUAUGUGUCCUUCCUCAAGCAGAUUGUUUAUCCUAUGUAUGAAACAUUGGCAGCGGAAGCUGCUAGAAACAAUAACGGGAAAGCUGCACAUUUCAGUGUGGCGGAAUUAUGACGACUUCAAUGAAUACUUUUGCUUUGUUUGCUUGUCAUUCAAUUAUGGAUGAACAAUGUGAUUCCUUCUUUUUGGUGUGUGAAGCGUCUGUGGAAUAUGCAGGUCACCUGCUUGUUUAGUUGAGCUAAGAGAUUGGAUGAAGAUUGUGGAAUCGUAAGUCCCUUGUAUUGAUCAUACAUAUUCGGUUGUUGCUGAAGGAAAGCAUCAUUUUUGUGCUUCUCUGCUGGUCCAAUAUUCAUGCACUGUGUGGCAUGUUUUGUAACAAAUAGUUUGUAUUUGUAUCAGCUUUUGAUGUCCCAGGUAGAUGGGCAUGCAUUUGAAUGCUUUUCUUCUUUUAAUGUUGGCUUGAAUGAUUGGGAAAUCCUUCCUUUUAACGUUUGAAUGCUUUUCUUCAAAUAGUAUGAGUUGGAUUACUCUUUAUUCAUA
This is a long non-coding RNA of Rosa rugosa (rugosa rose), 2457 nucleotides long. RefSeq lists it as uncharacterized. Lineage: Eukaryota; Viridiplantae; Streptophyta; Magnoliopsida; Rosales; Rosaceae. The transcript is spliced from 7 exons. The record is from RefSeq and is a predicted model, not a curated record.